UACGGGGGGGGCAAGCGUUGUUCGGAAUUACUGGGCGUAAAGGGCUCGUAGGCGGCCAACUAAGUCAGACGUGAAAUCCCUCGGCUUAACCGUGGAACUGCAUCUGAUACUGGAUGGCUUGAGUUCGGGAGAGGGAUGCGGAAUUCCAGGUGUAGCGGUGAAAUGCGUAGAUAUCUGGAGGAACACCGGUGGCGAAGGCGGCAUCCUGGACCGACACUGACGCUGAGGAGCGAAAGCCAGGGGAGCAAACGGG
This 253-nucleotide ribosomal RNA is filed under the name uncultured bacterium. RNAcentral's name for it is "partial 16S ribosomal RNA". It matches the Rfam family "Bacterial small subunit ribosomal RNA", at positions 524 to 776 of the family's 1533-position model. The record is from RNAcentral.